RNAcentral lists this ribosomal RNA (898 nucleotides) under Fusarium vanettenii. RNAcentral's name for it is "partial large subunit ribosomal RNA". It matches the Rfam family "Eukaryotic large subunit ribosomal RNA", at positions 38 to 966 of the family's 3401-position model. Lineage: Eukaryota; Fungi; Ascomycota; Sordariomycetes; Hypocreales; Nectriaceae. The record is from RNAcentral.
GCAUAUCAAUAAGCGGAGGAAAAGAAACCAACAGGGAUUGCCCCAGUAACGGCGAGUGAAGCGGCAACAGCUCAAAUUUGAAAUCUGGCUCUCGGGCCCGAGUUGUAAUUUGUAGAGGAUGCUUUUGGUGAGGUGCCUUCCGAGUUCCCUGGAACGGGACGCCAUAGAGGGUGAGAGCCCCGUCUGGUUGGACGCCGAACCUCUGUAAAGCUCCUUCGACGAGUCGAGUAGUUUGGGAAUGCUGCUCUAAAUGGGAGGUAUAUGUCUUCUAAAGCUAAAUACCGGCCAGAGACCGAUAGCGCACAAGUAGAGUGAUCGAAAGAUGAAAAGAACUUUGAAAAGAGAGUUAAACAGUACGUGAAAUUGUUGAAAGGGAAGCGCUUGUGACCAGACUUGGGCUUGGUUGAUCAUCCGGGGUUCUCCCCGGUGCACUCUUCCGGCCCAGGCCAGCAUCAGUUCGCCCUGGGGGACAAAGGCAUCGGGAACGUGGCUCUCUCCGGGGAGUGUUAUAGCCCGUUGCGUAAUACCCUGCGGCGGACUGAGGUUCGCGCAUUCGCAAGGAUGCUGGCGUAAUGGUCAUCAGUGACCCGUCUUGAAACACGGACCAAGGAGUCGUCUUCGUAUGCGAGUGUUCGGGUGUCAAACCCCUACGCGAAAUGAAAGUGAACGCAGGUGAGAGCUUCGGCGCAUCAUCGACCGAUCCUGAUGUUAUCGGAUGGAUUUGAGUAAGAGCAUACGGGGCCGGACCCGAAAGAAGGUGAACUAUGCCUGUGUAGGGUGAAGCCAGAGGAAACUCUGGUGGAGGCUCGCAGCGGUUCUGACGUGCAAAUCGAUCGUCAAACAUGGGCAUGGGGGCGAAAGACUAAUCGAACCUUCUAGUAGCUGGUUUCCGCCGAAG